AAUGAACGCUGGCGGUAGGCCUAACACAUGCAAGUCGAACGCCAGCACAGGAGAUCUUUCUCUCUGGGGGGCGGGUGGCGGACGAGUGAGGAAUACAUCGGAAUCUUCGCAGUGGGGGGGGAUAACGGAGGGAAACUUACGCUAAUACCUCAUACUUCCUGCGGGUUGAAGUGUGGGAUCGCAAUACAUUUCGCGAUUUAAUGGGCGGAUGUCCGAUUAGCUAGUUGGCGGGGUAAUGGCCCACCAAGCCGCGGUUCGGUAGCUGGUCUGAGAGGAUGAUCAGCAACACUGGACCUGAGAAACGGUCCAGCCUCCUACGGGAGGCAGAAGUGGGGAAUAUUGGCCAAUGGGCGCAAGCCUGCUCCAGCACUCCCGCGUGGGUGAGGAAGGCCUCCGGGUUGUAAAGCCCUUUUGUUGGGAAAGAAAACUUUCAGGGUAAUACGCUGGCAGGAUGACGGUACCUAACGAAUAAGCAACGGCUAACUUCGUG
This 490-nucleotide ribosomal RNA is filed under the name uncultured bacterium. Its description in RNAcentral is "partial 16S ribosomal RNA". It matches the Rfam family "Bacterial small subunit ribosomal RNA", at positions 29 to 507 of the family's 1533-position model. The record is from RNAcentral.